AUGUAUUUAAACACGAUAGUAAAUUUACAGCAUAGCUGAUGUGAUCGUGCACGUGAAACUAACUACAAUAUAUAAAUAUAAACUAAUUGAAUACAUCUACCUCUACAUUAUCUAACAGAACAACAAAUUACAUGCAUGUCACAUAGCUGAGAUACUAUUUUACACAACCAUACAUAUUAACUACAUAUUGUAAUAGAGAUUUUUAUCAUUAAUUGUAAACUAUAGAGAUUAAUUUAAGUCGUACACUUUUAACGCCUAUGCCUGGCUCGGAU
This is a non-coding RNA of Paramuricea clavata, 272 nucleotides long. The record is from the annotation of a GenBank genome assembly. NCBI's taxonomy places the organism in Eukaryota, Metazoa, Cnidaria, Anthozoa, Malacalcyonacea, Plexauridae.